This 799-nucleotide ribosomal RNA is filed under the name uncultured Glomus. RNAcentral's name for it is "SSU rRNA". It matches the Rfam family "Eukaryotic small subunit ribosomal RNA", at positions 314 to 1114 of the family's 1831-position model. The record is from RNAcentral. Lineage: Eukaryota; Fungi; Glomeromycota; Glomeromycetes; Glomerales; Glomeraceae.
AUCAACUUUCGAUGGUAGGAUAGAGGCCUACCAUGGUGGUAACGGGUGACGGAGAAUUAGGGCACGACACCGGAGAGGGAGCCUGAGAAACGGCUACCACAUCCAAGGAUGGCAGCAGGCGCGCAAAUUACCCAAUCCCGACACGGGGAGGUAGUGACAAUAAAUAACAAUACGGGGUUCUUUCAGAUCUCGUAAUUGGAAUGAGUACAAUUUAAAUCUCUUAACGAGGAACAAUUGGAGGGCAAGUCUGGUGCCAGCAGCCGCGGUAAUUCCAGCUCCAAUAGCGUAUAUUAAAGUUGUUGCAGUUAAAAAGCUCGUAGUUGAAUUUCAGGAUCAAUAUGUUGGUCGUGCCAUUGGUACGUACUGGCAUUAUUGGUUUCUACCUUCUGAAGAACCUCGAUGUCAUUAAUUUGGUGUCUUGGGGAAUCAGAACUGUUACUUUGAAAAAAUUAGAGUGUUUAAAGCAGGCUCGCGCUUGAAUACAUUAGCAUGGAAUAAUGAAAUAGGACGUUUGAUUCUAUUUUGUUGGUUUCUAGGAUCGAUGUAAUGAUUAAUAGGGAUAGUUGGGGGCAUUAGUAUUCAAUUGUCAGAGGUGAAAUUCUUGGAUUUAUUGAAAACUAACUACUGCGAAAGCAUUUGCUAAGGAUGUUUUCAUUAAUCAAGAACGAAAGUUAGGGGAUCGAAGACGAUCAGAUACCGUCGUAGCCUUAACCAUAAACUAUGCCGACUAGGGAUCAGAUGAUGUUAAUUUUUUAAUGACUCAUUCGGCGCCUUACGGGAAACCAAAGUGUUUGGGUUC